CAGCUUUUUGUUUGUGACUUUGUAGGCUACGUGAGCUAUAGCCCGAGCUCUGUGUCGCAUUGCAUAGAAGGUCGACGUUGUAAAGCGACGUUGUAAUGCGCCUAACCAUUCUAAUUUGGGGGCAUAACUUUGUUUCACGGGUAGAAAACGACGCGCGACAGGACAGGGGGUCCAUAACUGCCGUUAUAGAAUUUUCGAUCACCGGUUAACCACCGGUUAAGGAGGCUCGGUAACCGGUAAAGAUUUUUUUUAAAUUUCGCCAUCCCUAGUCAGAGACACUUAGGCUGUGUGCAUUUUGGAAUGUUCCAAAUGUGUGUCACUUCCAUAAGGAAGAAGUUCCAAGCCUGCAAGUGAGUUCACUCACCAAAUAGAGACACACGCAUAUAGCAUUUAAUAUGUGUGCAUGUACUGUAUUUGUGUCUGUAACUGUUUAGUUUAUCCCCUCCUUUCAUGUGUCUGUUAUGACUUUGUGGGCUCAACUGUCAACAACUGUCCAGGGUGAAGUCGGUCUACCCUGAUGGCACUACCUGAUGGCACUACCCUGAUGAUGUCUGUUAGCCAUGGCUGCUGCCCUCAACAUGGUGAGCCAUCCAGAAGUCCCAGCCUGGAGCCAGAGGCUGCUAUUGCAAGUCAGAUGGGAGAUGGCCUACAGUAUGUUAGGCAUCAGAAAAGUGGUGUUCGCAUGAAGGCAGAGUUGCCGCAGGCAAUUAUGAGAUUAGACACUUGACAUUUACUGCGAAAGGUACCAUCAGAGCACCUCUCCCUACCCUGCAGGAUACCUAUACCAGAAGAGUACAACAACGGCCCAAAAGUAUCUCAAAAGACAUUUCACGCUCUGACCACGGACUGUUUAAACCACUGAGGUCAAGCAGACGUCUCUGUUCCCACGUGGCAGACUGAGGGAACACCCACAAAACAUACUGGGGAUGAGUUUCUUUACUCCGCAUCCUGUACACACACAACUCCUUAUACUACAUUACAUAGACUUGCCAGUUGCCAUACUGCACUUACACACACUGCGUUUUAACCCCCUUAUCUGUGUCAAAUCAGAUAAGGUUGUGGUUGUGUUCAAACCAUGUCUACUGUUGUCUGUCAACAUCCACUUCAGUCAUACAUUUGAAAUGUCUUAAAUAAAUAACAAAAGUUAAAAUUGUUUUAUUGUCUGCAGUUAACUGAAAUAUUUUGGAAUAUGAGUUAUUCUAUUAAUGAUUGCUCAUGU
This is a long non-coding RNA of Sardina pilchardus (European sardine), 1219 nucleotides long. RefSeq lists it as uncharacterized. The transcript has 3 exons. NCBI's taxonomy places the organism in Eukaryota, Metazoa, Chordata, Actinopteri, Clupeiformes, Clupeidae. The record is from RefSeq and is a predicted model, not a curated record.